This 66-nucleotide transfer RNA is filed under the name Chthoniobacterales bacterium. RNAcentral's name for it is "tRNA-Gly". It matches the Rfam family "tRNA". Rfam says of the family: Transfer RNA (tRNA) molecules are approximately 80 nucleotides in length. Lineage: Bacteria; Pseudomonadati; Verrucomicrobiota; Spartobacteria; Chthoniobacterales. The record is from RNAcentral.
GGGUGUAGUUCAAUGGUAGAACGCCAGCUUCCCAAGCUGGACACGAGGGUUCGAUUCCCUUCACCC